This is a long non-coding RNA of Sebastes umbrosus (honeycomb rockfish), 692 nucleotides long. RefSeq lists it as uncharacterized. The transcript is spliced from 6 exons. NCBI's taxonomy places the organism in Eukaryota, Metazoa, Chordata, Actinopteri, Perciformes, Sebastidae. The record is from RefSeq and is a predicted model, not a curated record.
UCUGUCGAAUCGUGUGUUUUACCCUGUCUUUUAAAAACCUGGUCCUGUCUUCCUUCAUCCUAUAGGGACCCCCUGGAACUCCCUCAAGAACCCCUGGGUGUUCCUGGAUCCCUGGUUGAGUGACAUAUAGUAACUGGGCUCUGUGUCUGGAAGCUAGGCUUCACCAUUACUGUCAAGUGUAGGAAGUUAACACAAGAGGACACUACAGUACAGCAUUAAGUAGAUCAGGAGAAGGAGCAUGGUUUUAAAGGUGGAUUCUACUGAUCGACACUGGCAGGACAAACAUAUGCACCAAAAAAAGGAAAAGAAGAAGACUGCUAGCAAGGACGCAUAGGGGAGUACAGAAGCCAUAUUUACCAAGUGAGAAAGUAAGAAGUAGAAGCAAAUGAGAGACUGCAUUCCUUAAAUUUCUAAAUGGAUGAUCAACAUGUCAGCAUGACUGGCCGUACUAGGGUAUUGUUUUCUGUGCUCGUGCCCUGAAUAGCACAGCCACGCUUCUUGUAGCAGUGGACAUCAUGGGCUGUGUGUGGUGGCUGGUCAAGCCAUGAGACACACAACACAGACAACACCAAUAGUGGGCAAUUUCAGCUCAAGACGGAACUAAACUGGUUCAUCUUCUUUCACACAUUUUUCCUGAGAAAAAUAUUUAUAUAUAAAAUAAUAAUAUAAAAAUAAAGACCUUUAAGAACUAU